AACGAACGCUGGCGGCAGGCCUAACACAUGCAAGUCGAGCGAGGACUUCGGUUCUAGCGGCGGACGGGUGAGUAACGCGUGGGAAUGUGCCCUUCUCUACGGAAUAGCCCUGAGAAACUGGGAGUAAUACCGUAUACGCCCUUUUGGGGAAAGAUUUAUCGGAGAAGGAUCAGCCCGCGUUGGAUUAGGUAGUUGGUGGGGUAAUGGCCUACCAAGCCGACGAUCCAUAGCUGGUUUGAGAGGAUGAUCAGCCACACUGGGACUGAGACACGGCCCAGACUCCUACGGGAGGCAGCAGUGGGGAAUCUUAGACAAUGGGGGCAACCCUGAUCUAGCCAUGCCGCGUGAGUGAUGAAGGCCUUAGGGUUGUAAAGCUCUUUCAGCUGGGAAGAUAAUGACGGUACCAGCAGAAGAAGCCCCGGCUAACUCCGUG
RNAcentral lists this ribosomal RNA (433 nucleotides) under uncultured bacterium. Its description in RNAcentral is "partial 16S ribosomal RNA". It matches the Rfam family "Bacterial small subunit ribosomal RNA", at positions 29 to 507 of the family's 1533-position model. The record is from RNAcentral.